Molecule: unclassified non-coding RNA, 250 nt
Filed under: plant metagenome
Description: partial contains small subunit ribosomal RNA, internal transcribed spacer 1, and 5.8S ribosomal RNA
Source: RNAcentral
GUAGGUGAACCUGCGGAAGGAUCAUUAUCGUGGGGAUUCGUCCCUGUCGAGAUAGCACCCUUUGUCUAUGAGCACCUUCUGUUUCCUCGGCGGGCUUGCCCGCCAACGGGGACCACACAAACCCUUUGCAGUAGCAGUAACUUCUGAAAACAAACAAAUAUUAAAACUUUCAACAACGGAUCUCUUGGUUCUGGCAUCGAUGAAGAACGCAGCAUCUGACUGACUGAACUGUAUCUCAUCUCGUAUGCCG